UACGGGGGGUGCAAGCGUUGCUCGGAAUCACUGGGCGUAAAGCGUCCGCAGGCGGACCUUUAAGUCGGUCGUGAAAGCCCAGGGCUCAACCCUGGAACUGCGAUCGAAACUGGGGGUCUUGAGUUCGGGAGAGGGAGGUGGAAUUCCAGGUGUAGAGGUGAAAUUCGUAGAUAUCUGGAGGAACACCGGUGGCGAAAGCGGCCUCCUGGCCCGAUACUGACGCUCAUGGACGAAAGCGUGGGGAGCAAACAGG
Molecule: ribosomal RNA, 253 nt
Filed under: uncultured bacterium
Lineage: Bacteria
Description: partial 16S ribosomal RNA
Rfam family: Bacterial small subunit ribosomal RNA
Source: RNAcentral